RNAcentral lists this transfer RNA (76 nucleotides) under Acidobacteriota bacterium. Its description in RNAcentral is "tRNA-Lys". It matches the Rfam family "tRNA". Rfam says of the family: Transfer RNA (tRNA) molecules are approximately 80 nucleotides in length. The record is from RNAcentral. Lineage: Bacteria; Pseudomonadati; Acidobacteriota. RNAcentral also lists the same sequence under 2 other names.
GGGCACGUAGCUCAACUGGCAGAGCAGGGGACUCUUAAUCCCAAGGUUGCGGGUUCGAUUCCCGCCGUGCUCACCA